Long non-coding RNA from Condylura cristata (star-nosed mole), 1724 nucleotides. RefSeq lists it as uncharacterized. The record is from RefSeq and is a predicted model, not a curated record. NCBI's taxonomy places the organism in Eukaryota, Metazoa, Chordata, Mammalia, Eulipotyphla, Talpidae. The transcript has 3 exons.
CGCCCCUACCCGACCUCCCUGGGAGAGCCCCAAAGCGCCCAGCCCAGGCGGCCACCCCACACCGAGCUCAUGGGCCCCCAGCCCCCAUGGGCCCCUUUCUAUGAAACCCUGAAAUCCCACUGCCCACCCCUCCCCCCACAGCGGCAGUAGCCAGCUUGGGCAGGGCGGGGCAGCCGGGGGUGGUCCUCCACCCCGGGAGCAGGUCUGCCCCAGCCUGGAAGGUGUCAGUGUAACAGAUUUGCGUUUUGGUGCAGCUGUUUGCCAUUUUCCUCUUGUCUGGAUGUUCUCAAGUCUGUGCCCCUCCCCUCUCCUGCCCGUCCCCCCCACCUUGGCGACCCUUUGCACUCCUGGCGGGCGGCCAGCAGGCGAGUGGGCCCGCAGCUCCACCCUGGCGCCUGACGGCGGUCUGACCACAGCUGACGCUGACGCGGCACCCACUCCUGCAGCCCCCGCUUCUCGCCAAAGCAGCCACUCCAGGUCCCACUGUCAUUCAGGCCGAGAGGCCCCUCCCCAUCCCUGGCCUCCGAAGCCCACGGGUCCCUCCAUGCACGUCACCUGCUUUGGGGUCCCAGCUUGAGUUACUGACUGCCGAUGGAACCCCCAUUCUGGGUCACAGGCGGAGCCAGGGCGCAGGCUGCACUAUGCAGAUGUCUGACAAAGGGGUUACUGGCAGAGCUGGGGGGGUGCGGGGUGCAGGGCUGGUGGCCAGUGUGUCCUGGUGUAGAAAGGGGGGCAAGACCUCAGCUCCCCGUAUCCCGCCCCCACCCCCCCCAGCCCAGGGACAGCCUGGGAGGGGGCCUGCUGCCCGCUGGCCUGCCCAGUCUGGGAGGCGGCUGGCAAAGCUGCGGCCGCACUCGUCCAGCAGGGCAUGUCAGUGACUGGGCCUUUCGCCUGGCUGGGAGGGAAGCCCCCAAGUUUGUUUGCAGAGGCCGCCUGUCACCUGCUCUUGGGCGGUGGCCGGCGAGCUGGGUGGCCGCAAUGGGCGUGCAGACGCUCGGUCCGGGGCGGAGCUCGCCGGGACUGUGGCGUCGCGUGGGUCCGAUUGUCGGUACAAAGGGGCCAUCGGUGGGGCGCCCCUCACCCUUUAGUGCUAAUUCUUCAGCUCUUUUCAGUGGUGCCCCACCCAGGCGGCCCCUUGCGGAUUCUUCCCGCUGCGCUCCCGCGCCCUGGCACUCGCCGGCCGGCCCUGCAGCGAGCCUGGCCACUGCCGCAGUGGGUCCCUUCCACGUGCCUCUUCUCAGUUCCCACUUUCAUUCAAGAAAAUCAACACAGCCCAGGAACAUGGCGCGCCCCGACAGGAGGCUGCUUCUAGAACUUUCUUGCGUGGGUUUUGGUGCCUCUCCUGUUCGUGUGGAAAUCCUUUCCAUCUGAGGUCGUCUUUUCUCCAAGCUGGAAACGCUGGCUCCGCCGUUGUCCCACUCCCCGGGCUCACGACCUCCUCAGCAGAGCUAGCCGGUACAGCCCACCCUGUCGCGCGUGAGGCUCUCUGGGUGCUCACCGCUGGUGGCCCUCCCCUCUGGGCCACCCAGACCUUCUUUCUGCCUAAGCCCUGGCAGCACGUGGGCCCUUGGCUCUGCUCCCACACCCCCAGACAGGGGGCCUGACCUUCCAGCCCCACCCACCCAGCUAUGCGCAGGCCCAGCCACAGUCUGGGACUCUAGUUUGAAAAUGGUCACAUUUAGGGCCCUCCCUGGUGGCACAACAGGGUUGGGGGCAGCACUGCG